GGUUAAGCGACUAAGCGUACACGGUGGAUGCCCUGGCAGUCAGAGGCGAUGAAGGGCGUGCUAAUCUGCGAUAAGCGCCGGUAAGGUGAUAUGAACCGUUAUAACCGGCGAUACCCGAAUGGGGAAACCCAGUGUGAUUCGUCACACUAUCAUUAACUGAAUCCAUAGGUUAAUGAGGCGAACCGGGGGAACUGAAACAUCUAAGUACCCCGAGGAAAAGAAAUCAACCGAGAUUCCCCCAGUAGCGGCGAGCGAACGGGGAGGAGCCCAGAGCCUGAAUCAGCAUGUGUGUUAGUGGAAGCGUCUGGAAAGGCGCGCGAUACAGGGUGACAGCCCCGUACACAAAAGCGCAUGUGCUGUGAGCUCGAUGAGUAGGGCGGGACACGUGGUAUCCUGUCUGAAUAUGGGGGGACCAUCCUCCAAGGCUAAAUACUCCUGACUGACCGAUAGUGAACCAGUACCGUGAGGGAAAGGCGAAAAGAACCCCGGCGAGGGGAGUGAAAAAGAACCUGAAACCGUGUACGUACAAGCAGUGGGAGCACCCUUUGGGGUGUGACUGCGUACCUUUUGUAUAAUGGGUCAGCGACUUAUAUUCUGUAGCAAGGUUAACCGAAUAGGGGAGCCGGAGGGAAACCGAGUCUUAACCGGGCGUUAAGUUGCAGGGUAUAGACCCGAAACCCGGUGAUCUAGCCAUGGGCAGGUUGAAGGUUGGGUAACACUAACUGGAGGACCGAACCGACUAAUGUUGAAAAAUUAGCGGAUGACCUGUGGCUGGGGGUGAAAGGCCAAUCAAACCGGGAGAUAGCUGGUUCUCCCCGAAAGCUAUUUAGGUAGCGCCUCGUGAAUUCAUCUCCGGGGGUAGAGCACUGUUUCGGCUAGGGGGCCAUCCCGGCUUACCAACCCGAUGCAAACUGCGAAUACCGGAGAAUGUUAUCACGGGAGACACACGGCGGGUGCUAACGUCCGUCGUGAAGAGGGAAACAACCCAGACCGCCAGCUAAGGUCCCAAAGUCAUGGUUAAGUGGGAAACGAUGUGGGAAGGCCCAGACAGCCAGGAUGUUGGCUUAGAAGCAGCCAUCAUUUAAAGAAAGCGUAAUAGCUCACUGGUCGAGUCGGCCUGCGCGGAAGAUGUAACGGGGCUAAACCAUGCACCGAAGCUGCGG
Molecule: ribosomal RNA, 1163 nt
Filed under: Salmonella enterica subsp. enterica serovar Newport str. CVM 21539
Lineage: Bacteria; Pseudomonadati; Pseudomonadota; Gammaproteobacteria; Enterobacterales; Enterobacteriaceae
Description: bacterial LSU rRNA
Rfam family: Bacterial large subunit ribosomal RNA
Source: RNAcentral